Molecule: ribosomal RNA, 266 nt
Filed under: uncultured bacterium
Lineage: Bacteria
Description: partial 16S ribosomal RNA
Rfam family: Bacterial small subunit ribosomal RNA
Source: RNAcentral
UACGUAGGGGCGAGCGUUGUCCGGAUUUAUUGGGCGUAAAGAGCGUGUAGGCGGCUUGGUAGGUCCGCUGUGAAAACUACGAGGCUCAACCUCCGAGACGCCGGUGGAAACCAUCAGACUAGAGUCCGGAAGAGGAGAGUGGGAAUUCCUGGAUGUAGCGGUGGAAAUGACGCAGAUAUCAGGAGGAACACCGGUGGCGAAGGCGGCAUCCUGGACCGACAUUGACGCUGAACGAAGCGAAAGGCAUAGGGGGAGUCAAACACGGG